Molecule: ribosomal RNA, 661 nt
Filed under: uncultured bacterium
Lineage: Bacteria
Description: bacterial SSU rRNA
Rfam family: Bacterial small subunit ribosomal RNA
Source: RNAcentral
CGGAGAACAAAUCCCGAUGUACAGGAAGGAGGCAUCUUCUUUCUGUGAAACAUCCUUUAGGGGAUGGGGCGCGGAUGGACCUGCGGUGCAUUAGUUGGUUGGCGGGAUAAAGGCCCACCAAGACGAUGAUGCAUAGCCGGCCUGAGAGGGCGGACGGCCACAUUGGGACUGAGACACGGCCCAGACUCCUGCGGGAGGCAGCAGUAGGGAAUUUUCGUCAAUGGGCGCAAGCCUGAACGAGCGAUGCCGCGUGAGUGAAGAAGGCCUUCGGGUCGUAAAGCUCUGUUGCGGGGGAAAAAAGGCAGCAUCAGGAAAUGGGUGCUGACUGAUGGUGCCCCGCCAGAAAGUCACGGCUAACUACGUGCCAGCAGCCGCGGUAAUACGUAGGUGGCGAGCGUUAUCCGGAAUGAUUGGGCGUAAAGGGUGCGCAGGCGGUCCUGCAAGUCUGGAGUGAAACGCAUGAGCUCAACUCAUGCAUGGCUUUGGAAACUGGAGGACUGGAGAGCAGGAGAGGGCGGUGGAACUCCAUGUGUAGCGGUAAAAUGCGUAGAUAUAUGGAAGAACACCAGUGGCGAAGGCGGCCGCCUGGCCUGUUGCUGACGCUGAGGCACGAAAGCGUGGGGAGCAAAUAGGAUUAGAUACCCUAGUAGUCCACGCCGUA